This 253-nucleotide ribosomal RNA is filed under the name uncultured bacterium. RNAcentral's name for it is "partial 16S ribosomal RNA". It matches the Rfam family "Bacterial small subunit ribosomal RNA", at positions 524 to 776 of the family's 1533-position model. The record is from RNAcentral.
UACGAAGGGUGCAAGCGUUACUCGGAAUUACUGGGCGUAAAGCGUGCGUAGGUGGUUUGUUAAGUCUGAUGUGAAAGCCCUGGGCUCAACCUGGGAACGGCAUUGGAAACUGGCUUACUAGAGUGCGGUAGAGGGGUGUGGAAUUCCCAGUGUAGAGGUGAAAUUCGUAGAUAUUGGGAAGAACACCGAUGGCGAAGGCAGCCAUCUGGACCGACACUGACGCUGAGGCGCGAAAGCGUGGGGAGCAAACAGG